AAAGGAAAGGAGAAAAAGAAAAAAAAAGAAAUAGAAUCCCCAAAACCCAAUCAUAUGAUAACUUCUGGCUGAACUCCUGCCCAAUUUGAACUGGAGUCAAAACUUACUUUAGUUAAGCUAAAUCUCCCUCAGCCCCAGCUUUCAAAUAAAAUAGUUGUUUUUGUUUUGCUUUUUUUCCAAUUAAAUGAACAAAGCUCCUUGGGAUGUCUUUAAACAUCAUUCUACUGAUUCACUCCAAAAUAAUAGUAAGUGACUUAGACAAAUGAUCUGAGCAACUGACUCCUUGGAUGGAGAGAGUGAGUAAGAAAUAUACUCUGUCCCUUGGCUGUUGUUCACUGCUUUAUCAUUUCUUCACUUACAUCCCACCAAAUGUGUUGAUUAUUGCUUUGGACUCUAUAUUUAAUAAACUGGAUUAAUCUUGCCCUGGAAAACAAAUGAGCAGUCUGGCUUAUCUGCUUUUAUCCUGGCAUAACAAGACAUUUUUUCUAAUCAGCUGAUUUGGAGAGAAGUUUGCCAUGUUGAAAGUGGAGAGAAGUUUCAUUCAAAUUGAGUUGAACUGCCUGCUGCUUACAGCUAUACAGCUCUUUGCUGACAGCUCAUGCACUUAGAAUUUGGGCAAGAUUUGCACAGCCCUGAACCAAAAUAACAUAUUACAGUAGUUUUUUGAGUUCUUGAAAGGCAUGAUGAUGACCUAAGAUGAGCAUUUAGUCCAAACCUAAAGAUCUGUUCCAAUAUAUUCCAGUCAAUGCUUACCUUGGGAUUUCAGAUUAAAGGCAUGAGUUCAAAAUGUGCUUUUAUUUAUGAACACUGGGUGGGAGAUACAAAGAGAGCAGAAUAACCUUCUAGUCUAUAGGGAUAAAUAUCUUUGAGGUUCUGGGAGAACCCUGAUGGCUUUCUCAAAUAACUGUUUCUGUACCCGCAAAUCUAUAUUUUUCCUCACAGGUGCCGUGCCAUGACACGUCGAAGGGAUAUGCUAAAUAUCAAGAGAUCCUGAAAUUUAACUUGUAAUAAACUAGAUACAUGACAGCUUUAAAUUCCAGCCAAAACAUACUGGCAUUUACCAAAUUUGAAGAUGAAGACAGUGCACUUCAGACUGGUAAUUUUGUCAUCUAAUGGAAAAUGGAACAUCCAACUGAAGUUAAAAUGAAGAUACUCGAACUGAAGAUUCUUCUACAAGACUGAACACUCAAAAUCGACACUGACCGGAUGGAAUUUCAAAGGUGUACUUGCAAAAAAAGAAUCUCUUUUCAGAAAGAUGUUACAACAGUGUAACGCACUUGUACAACAUUACAAAGUGGACAUGUCUUCGU
Molecule: long non-coding RNA, 1310 nt
Organism: Meleagris gallopavo (turkey)
Lineage: Eukaryota; Metazoa; Chordata; Aves; Galliformes; Phasianidae
Source: RefSeq, a predicted model, not a curated record